This 494-nucleotide ribosomal RNA is filed under the name uncultured bacterium. Its description in RNAcentral is "partial 16S ribosomal RNA". It matches the Rfam family "Bacterial small subunit ribosomal RNA", at positions 28 to 507 of the family's 1533-position model. The record is from RNAcentral.
GACGAACGCUGGCGGCGUGCCUAAUACAUGCAAGUCGAGCGGACUUAAAAAGCUUGCUUUUUAAGUUAGCGGCGGACGGGUGAGUAACACGUGGGCAACCUGCCUGUAAGACUGGGAUAACUUCGGGAAACCGGAGCUAAUACCGGAUAAUCCUUUUCUACUCAUGUAGAAAAGCUGAAAGACGGUUUACGCUGUCACUUACAGAUGGGCCCGCGGCGCAUUAGCUAGUUGGUGAGGUAACGGCUCACCAAGGCGACGAUGCGUAGCCGACCUGAGAGGGUGAUCGGCCACACUGGGACUGAGGCACGGCCCAGACUCCUACGGGAGGCAGCAGUAGGGAAUCUUCCGCAAUGGACGAAAGUCUGACGGAGCAACGCCGCGUGAGUGAUGAAGGUUUUCGGAUCGUAAAACUCUGUUGUUAGGGAAGAACAAGUACGAGAGUAACUGCUCGUACCUUGACGGUACCUAACCAGAAAGCCACGGCUAACUACGUG